GCGCGGAAAGUAGCACAGUACGAGGAGUGCCCUUGAUUGAGGAGACGUAGGUGCAAAUCCUACCGCCGCGCA
This 72-nucleotide transfer RNA is filed under the name Slackia isoflavoniconvertens. RNAcentral describes it as "tRNA-Ile". The record is from RNAcentral. RNAcentral also lists the same sequence under 1 other name. Lineage: Bacteria; Bacillati; Actinomycetota; Coriobacteriia; Eggerthellales; Eggerthellaceae.